AUCACAGUUAGGGGGUAAGUAUCUUUUGGUGGGCCUGGGGCCUGUGCUGGUCAAUGGCUUGUAGUCCAAGAAUGGGAUGUGAAAUGGAGAAAACUAAGACAAUCUACCCGUAGGUACCCCUGGGUCUGUCCCGCACCACAGCUCUCUCCCUGAUGCCUUUUACCCAACAGCUUAAAAUUCACUUGAAAGGCAAAUAUUCACACUUAACAUUUAUGCAAGCAGAUGUUCCUGCAAUAUUACUUAUAAGUAAAAUAACACUUUGCUUAUUAUAAACAACUAAAAUAAUAGGAAAAGAUUGUGUAAGUUAUAGUAUAGCCACUGAAAUAUUUUCAAGACUUUAAUGAUAUAGAGGAAAGAUUAUUAUAUAAUGUUAAACAGUGUUAUGAACUGAAUUGUGUCCCCUCAAAAUUCAUAUGGUGAAACCCUAACUCCCAAAGUGACUGUAUUUGGAGGUAGGGUCUUUAAAGAGGUAAUUAGGUUCAAUAAAGGCAUAAUCCAAUAUGACUGGUGUCCCUAUAAGAAGAGGAAGAGCACCAGGAGUGCAUAGAGAAAAGGUCUCAUGAGGACACUGAGAGAAGACUGCCAUCGGCAAGCCAAGGAAAGGGGCCUCAGGAGAAAACAAACCUCCCAUCACCUUGACCUCAAACUUCCAGCCUUCAGAAGUGUGAGAAACAAAUUCCUGUUCUUUAUGCCACCAAGUCUGUGAUAUUUUGUUAUGGCAGCCAUAGUAAACUAAUACAGAUUGAUUGGAAAAGUAUGUAUGUGUGGUGUGUGUAUAUACACCAAUGAUCCAAUUUUUAAAAAGGUUUUCUCAUACACAUAGAGAAAUGACUAGAAGGAAAUAUACUAAAACCCCACUGGGAGGUUAUGAAGAUUUUUAUUUUAUUCCUAUGUUAUAUUUUUCUCUGAGUGAUUUAUAUAGGAAUAAUUUUAAAUUGUUUAGUGUGCAUCAUUCAUUUAUGUAGCCUUUUUAAAAUUUUUUCUUGAUGUAUAUAUAUACUCUGCUUUAUUACAGAAGAGAUCUACAACUAAAAUUCUUUCCUAAAAACAAACCUUGUUUUUCAAAAAUGAUGUUAACUCACUUAUUAAAGAAAUGAGGUAAAUAUUUUAAAUCCUUGUUCAUCAGCAUCUCAAAUGAGGUGAAAGCUCUGUUUUGGAUGUCACAGAUGGUCCCCAGUUCCUGCCCUCAGCAUUGCAACAAAAUGGGCCAGGACAGCUCCCCAGCUAGAAUGGUCAGCCUUGGUGCUGAAGGGGCUCAACCUCAGGUAAGGAGCACCCCUACCUUCUGCUCCUCUCUCCUCCCCUCUCUAGCCACACAACACCUACAAGACUGAGGGAACUCAGCCAGUCUUGAGGUGCUGGAGAAUCUGACAACUGAAGAUUCACCUUCUAGUGGGGUUAUGUUUGAAUGUGGC
This 1415-nucleotide long non-coding RNA is filed under the name Homo sapiens (human). RNAcentral's name for it is "non-protein coding lnc-AZI2-5:1". Lineage: Eukaryota; Metazoa; Chordata; Mammalia; Primates; Hominidae. The record is from RNAcentral.